This is a long non-coding RNA of Gasterosteus aculeatus aculeatus (three-spined stickleback), 2382 nucleotides long. NCBI's taxonomy places the organism in Eukaryota, Metazoa, Chordata, Actinopteri, Perciformes, Gasterosteidae. The record is from Ensembl.
GAGCAGGGUCCAAGAUGUUAUCACGUGGUUCCCACGACUGCUCCUCUGGACUGUAGACCUCCCAGUCGGCCAGGUACUCGAGACGCGGACCUCCACUGCAUGAAAAGUGGGAUUUUCGCCAGUAUGCGGCACUGUAAAUUGUUGUGGAAUUUCAGGUUUGCGGCUGUUCACGGCAAUUUGCGGGCAACGCCGAAAACUGCCGUAAAUUGUCAGAAAUUGAUGUGGGCCUCCCUUGGCAGUUGUCCCCCCUUGACCCCCCUCCUCCUAAUUCUAGGGGAGGCUUUGACAUGUAAAUGAAAAUGCUGUGAGCUAUACAAAUGCAAAUCAGGGUCGCAGAGGGAGUUUUAGCCCAGGUGACAUAUUUUUAAAAGGUAAGAAAAUCUCUGGUACAAAUAGAUUAGGCUCAGUAGCCUAAUUAUAGACGCUUACAUUUUAGCUUGAAUUGAUUUAUUUAAUUCAAAUAUGCUAGAUUACUGUGUACGCCAUUAGCAAUGGCAAAUGUUAUGUAAAAAAGAUACACAAAAUAACUUCUUUAAAAAAUGAGUUUUAAUCAAGCAAUAAUGAGCAUUCCAUGCAAACAACAUUUGAAUCAGAAUGAGGGGUCUGCAGAGAUCACAGUCUCCUAGAGCUCAACUACAGUGCAUAGGAUCAGGACUACAGUGACCUUUUCUUUGGUCUUACUUAAAUGCACAGAGGAUGUAUUAACCACACAUGUUCUAGCAAUGCGCUCAACUGGCAGAAAUGAUGCUGGGUAUGACGUGUCUGUUCCCUGCAAGCCCCAAACUUCUAUUGGCUUUCCAUAAAAAUGUCUGUCCGGGUGGGGAUGAAGCCAGGAAAAACUUGUGCAAGAACAUGUUUAAAUGCCAUACCCUUUGACACAACAUUAACAACUAUAAACUGCUUUAUAAUGGCUGGUCGUAGUUCUGCUAGAGGGUCAAGGACGGGUUCCUCAAAACUGUUAGUGUUUCCACACCACUUAGCAUGAACAUAUGCUGACCUUUAUGCUCUGCAUCUAUCGAUUGAGUAAGUUACAUUCAUAUAUGUUACCCGUUUACAUGUCAUGGCAAAACAUUCAACCUAAGUGACACAAGGGUACAUCUGAUGAUACAUUGUCAACAUUGCAUGUAUGUCAGACUCAUCCAAGAUUGUCUGGUGGAAUGGAGAAAGAGGCACCACUGUACAGUUUUCUAGGGAAAGUCGUUCCGCUGACACCAAAACACCGCUUUACAUAAAGCAUAUCAGCUGUUUCAUUGCACGACAAAGUCCCAACCAUUUGUCUUCCUAAAAUACUGGUCCUUCCGUAUAACAAUAACCUUGUAUGUGAUUGGAGGACCCUUAGACUCCUCGUCCAAUCACGUGUGAGGUCAUAGGCAUGACUCGGACAGCAGUACUUACUUGACGAGCAUACAAACAGACACUAUAUUCAGAAGAACUGUAUCUCCAGUUCCUUUGUUUGGUUUUUGCUGGUUCGUGAAUAAUGGCUGGACGACGUCUCGCGUUCAACUCGCCUUCAACUCCUCUCCGCGGCCACCAACUUUCGGCCAGUCCGCAGACAGACGAGAAGAAACUGCUGAAUGGUCUCAGUGGAUCGUCUCGUCAACUCCAACAACAAACUGCCGAUAUCAACGAGCGGUUAGGGACUCUCCAGGUUGCUGUCCAUAGAGGAGAGGUUGGCGGCUCUGGAGGAACUGACUCAAAGAAGAGGAGACGGGCGCACAAUCCCAAGAUAGCGGAAGCGGUGUGCCGUCUUCACAACUCCGAGACGAAUUACAGGCGCUACGAACUGGAGCAAGGACUAAUCUCGCCUCAUAAUGAGGCGGUGACCUCGUAUUUGCUCCAGGAAAAGUCCAGAUUUAGACGACGUCAUUGUGUCCGCCUGUGAGACUAUUUUGAGACGGUGCGCAGGAGCUUCAGGUUUUCCCAGCCGGAACACUCAUUGCGGGCGGAAGCUGCGAAGGAUUCAGCGCGGAGUCGAGCAAGAAGAAAGAGUUUAUUUGCUGACUUUUUUCAGGUGCAUUGAUAAGAUGUGUUGUGUCCGUACGCAUCGCAAAGUACUGAUUCACUGUUGUUUUUACAGCUGCUGGAAUUGAGACAAAGUGUGCUGGCUGAUGAUGAGGUGGAACUCUGGAAAUCCACCACCGUAGAGCUCACGUCGGACAGAGAGGAUGGCGUUGUUGGCGGGGUCUCGGGGGGGAUUGUACGGUCGCCACACGCACACAAGGCGCCUGCACAACAGACCUGCCUCGGAAAACACGGCGCCAGUGACGGUCUACAACCCCGAGGAGGCAAACGGACAGUUUACUGAGCUGUAGUUUUUUAAACCGCCUUUACCCAAGUGUGGACAGAUCUUCACUUUGUAUGUAGUUGUUGUUUGUGUGUUGU